Molecule: long non-coding RNA, 444 nt
Filed under: Chloebia gouldiae (Gouldian finch)
Lineage: Eukaryota; Metazoa; Chordata; Aves; Passeriformes; Passeridae
Description: Erythrura gouldiae (Gouldian finch) lncRNA (ENSEGOG00005010061.1)
Source: RNAcentral
CGGCGGGCGGGGCGUGGCGCCUUUCCCGUGGUGCCGCGGGAGCGGCGGCCGCAGCGGCCGCGAUUUCGUCCGGGUCCCGCAAGCUCACUGGAAGGUCCGGAAGUGCCGCCCCCGGGAGCCGUCGGCGCCAGAGAGCAAGGCUGAGGCUGUUCUCAGAGCCUGAUGUAAUUACUGAUGGGUUCUUCGUUAGCUGCCCAGCACUGCCCCAAUUGCCUCUGUGCUGCAAGGAACAGGAUGCACAGACAGCACUGCAGCUCUUCGUAAGUUUAGAGCAAACCUCAUCAGACCAGUGGGAAAACCUACAGCCCUGGCAAAACCUGUGUUCCCACUGGAUUGCCAUGACUCAGUGAACGCCAUUGUGUUGCAGAAAUUCUGAAAUGGAGCCAAGAAAUUCCAAGAUUACCUUCUUAAAAUAAAAAUACCCACUAAACUGCUUGUCCUUCA